Tribolium castaneum (red flour beetle) is the source of this 1211-nucleotide long non-coding RNA. RefSeq lists it as uncharacterized. Lineage: Eukaryota; Metazoa; Arthropoda; Insecta; Coleoptera; Tenebrionidae. The record is from RefSeq and is a predicted model, not a curated record. The transcript has 2 exons.
AUGGUGGAGCAAAUCGACGACAUUAACAUACAAAUUAUUUCAUUAAGGAUCGAUCGCCGAAACCACACUUUUGCAUACAAUAAGAAAACGAGUGCAAUGAACGAUUGAGACGUAUUUGGGAAAACACACCUGACAUUAGUUUUUAAUCUCGUCGGUCGGUGGUAUAUUUGCGCACAAACAAAACUCUUGCUAUUUAUUUUUAGAACGUUUCUCCGAGAGCAAAUUCAAAGAAAUUGGAUUUUUUAAAUGGGUCAAAACUUCGAUCUCCGAAGUAAAUCUAGUUUUGUAACAGGGUGCUCUAACCGGCGUGAUUUAGUUUUCUUUAGUUUUCUAUUACCGCCAAGACACUUUAACCUUCCCCUAUUUAAUUAGCCCAAUUAGUAUUGUAUCAAAAAAAUCAGUAGUACGUAAUAGUUCCCAAGCAAUUUUAAUCCGGAAUUAUAAUCGUCUCUUGUCAAUAGUCGAUACUUCCGGUUUGGUGUUAAUUUCCUUUCGACACAUUUCCACCGCUAAUGAGCGAGUGUUUAAAACACAGAGGCGUACUCUAUUUAUUUAUUCAUCCCGAAAGUUUUAAAAUCGAUGAAACCGAACUUUUCGAGAUCCUACUCCAACUCAAAUUUCCUCUUCACGAGUUGAAAUUGCAUUCGCUGAAAGCAGUUUAAUUUCGUGGAGCAUAAAGGUGGCUUCCAACUUUGAUAUUUUUGCCUGACAUAUUGUUAGAUUUUCGAGUCAGUUAUCAUAAAAAUUGAUAAUCGUUUUGCACUCUGCGAGAGGGGUGACCCAUUUUUUCUCGUUGACGUACUUAGAGUAUGUAGAUACGUCCAUGACGUUGUUUAUUUUACGAAACAAUCGCAUCAAAAUUAGGAGGUGAAAUUACGGAUGAUUUAAAAACGAGGCAUUCAUUAAAAAGUGAUUCGUGUUUUACUACCCUUAUCUCAUGUCAAAUUUACCGCAUCAAGAGGACGAGAUCGAAGCUGAUUUUCGAAGGGUUAUUAUGACACGACGCUGUCUGGAGAGAUUUCAUAACGCCACAUUUUCGACAACAUCGGUUAAUUAUAAAUCACAACAAUUUUCAUUUAUUUUUUGUCAAAUUUUUGGGCCUGACGCACUUACAUUGUAGGCAUCAGUGAUGUUGAUGAGUAUUUUAUUUUUGGCGACGGUCCCCGCAAUGCCCACCCCAAAGGGAAUCCUAAUUUCUUCGGCCUUUGCCA